Tyto alba (common barn owl) is the source of this 1239-nucleotide long non-coding RNA. RefSeq lists it as uncharacterized. NCBI's taxonomy places the organism in Eukaryota, Metazoa, Chordata, Aves, Strigiformes, Tytonidae. The record is from RefSeq and is a predicted model, not a curated record. The transcript is spliced from 2 exons.
CGUCGCACGGGGAGCGCUGGCCCGGGGUGGCGGGGGGGGGGGGGGGGGGUGGCACGGCGGGGCCGCCCCGCUGGCUUUGCCCGCUAGAGGGCAAGAGAGCCCCGCACAAGCGCGGCGGGGCGGCUGCCCCUGCCCCGCAGCCCGCCGAGCCCAGCCGCGCACGGCCGCGGGGGGCUCCGGACACGCGGGGAGCGGCACGGCACGGCACGGCACGGCACGGCCCGCAGCCGGGCGAGGAGCCCCCCGCGGAGGGGCCUCCUGGAGCCGGCGGGGGGCCUGAGGCCUUCUGCUGGGCACCGGGAGGCGCGGGAGGAAAGGUGCUAGAUGGCCACGGUGCCGUGGAUGGAGAGGCAAUCGCUUCCACGGGGAAAGCGAGCGAGGCCUUCGGUUGUUCCAGUAAAGCGGGCGUGGGGCCGUCACGGAGCUGGCACAGACCACCUUCUCCAUCAGGGUGAAGGCUCACCGGGCUGCCGCGCCUGCCCCAGCGCAGGCAGAGGGAUAGUGAACUAUCUACAAAGGAAGUAUUAUCAAGCAAAGGAAGAACCUCAGGGACACCCUGCAGCCUGCUGCCAAACCCUGCUGAGCCUGCAGUUGCAAAUGAGCACCAACAGUAUGGGAGCAUGAAGAAGGCAGAAACCUCUUUGAUUAAACACCGCGCAUGCUUGGGCAGGGAAGGUGCACAAGGCAAAGGGUGGGCAGUGGCAGACCCGUUCUCACAGCGAGCACUCCUGUGAGCCCUGCCACACAAAUCGCCUGCCAGGCGGAGGCCCCUGUGAGCGCCUGCACACAUGGCAACGCUGAUUUCUUCCCCUUUUCUCCUUCUAAUCAAUGGCACUUUGGCUCUUGAGCUGGAGGGACUUGCAACAUCAUGGACGAUCGGUUCAUUACUAAAACCAGCAGAUACAAGCCAUGUACAAAUACAUGCAUCAGAUAAAUUUUUAAACAUAUUUGGCAGCUUGCACACUUACAUCACCCUAUCUACCUUCAAGUAUCACCAACACGGACAUGCAUUCCUAAAGACUGUAUCAACACCUGUGUGAAUGCACUCGACUGUAUCUGACCCACAACAGCAUUAUUACUUUUGUACUUAAAUUAAGAUAUCUUAAAACAUGUAGCCUGCUAACUCCCUCCCUAGGAUGGUCACAAAGAUCAUAUUCUGCCAGUGCUUAUUUAACAGAGAUUCACUAAUUUCUAUAUGCGGCAAAACACCAUAAUGCCAUAAUAAAUUCAUGUCAGAUA